This 440-nucleotide ribosomal RNA is filed under the name uncultured bacterium. RNAcentral's name for it is "bacterial SSU rRNA". It matches the Rfam family "Bacterial small subunit ribosomal RNA", at positions 28 to 451 of the family's 1533-position model. The record is from RNAcentral.
GAUGAACGCUGGCGGCGUGCUUAACACAUGCAAGUCGAACGGGAAAUAUUUCAUUGAGACUUCGGUGGAUUUGAUCUAUUUCUAGUGGCGGACGGGUGAGUAACGCGUGGGUAACCUGCCUUAUACAGGGGGAUAACAGUCAGAAAUGGCUGCUAAUACCGCAUAAGCGCACAGAGCUGCAUGGCUCAGUGUGAAAAACUCCGGUGGUAUAAGACGGACCCGCGUUGGAUUAGCUGGUUGGUGGGGUAACGGCCCACCAAGGCGACGAUCCAUAGCCGGCCUGAGAGGGUGAACGGCCACAUUGGGACUGAGACACGGCCCAGACUCCUACGGGAGGCAGCAGUGGGGAAUAUUGCACAAUGGGGGAAACCCUGAUGCAGCGACGCCGCGUGAAGGAAGAAGUAUCUCGGUAUGUAAACUUCUAUCAGCAGGGAAGAUAG